GCAAGUCGCGCGAGAAGUUUCCUGCUUGCAGGAGACGGAAAGCGGCGAAAGGGAGAGUAACGCGUGGACAUCUGCCCUCAGAUCCGGGAUAGCUCUGGGAAACUAGUGGUAAUACCGGAUAAUGUCUACGGACUAAAGGUGUGAUUCCGUCUGAGGAUGAGUCCGCGUCCUAUUAGCUUGUUGGUGGGGUAAUGGCCUACCAAGGCUUGGAUGGGUACCGGGUGUGAGAGCAUGGCCCGGCUCACUGGGACUGAGACACUGCCCAGACACCUACGGGUGGCUGCAGUCGAGAAUCUUCGGCAAUGGGCGAAAGCCUGACCGAGCGACGCCGCGUGCGGGAUGAAGGCCCUCGGGUUGUAAACCGCUGUCAGAGGGGAGGAAAUGCUGGAGGGCACUCUCUCCAGUUUGACCGAUCUUCAGAGGAAGUACGGGCUAAGUUCGUGCCAGCAGCCGCGGUAAGACGAACCGUACGAACGUUAUUCGGAAUCACUGGGCUUAAAGCGUGCGUAGGCGGCUUGGAAAGUUGGGUGUGAAAUCCCUCAGCUCAACCGAGGAAUGGCGCUCAAAACUGCCAGGCUUGAGGGAGAUAGAGGUGAGCGGAACUUAUGGUGGAGCGGUGAAAUGCGUUGAUAUCAUAGGGAACACCGGUGGCGAAAGCGGCUCACUGGGUCUUUUCUGACGCUGAGGCACGAAAGCUAGGGGAGCGAACGGGAUUAGAUACCCCGGUAGUCCUAGCUGUAAACGAUGAGCACUGGGUCGAGGGAACUUCUACAUUCUCUCGGCCGUAGCGAAAGUGUUAAGUGCUCCGCCUGGGGAGUAUGGUCGCAAGGCAA
Molecule: ribosomal RNA, 833 nt
Filed under: uncultured Planctomycetota bacterium
Lineage: Bacteria; Pseudomonadati; Planctomycetota
Description: bacterial SSU rRNA
Rfam family: Bacterial small subunit ribosomal RNA
Source: RNAcentral